Molecule: long non-coding RNA, 1260 nt
Organism: Felis catus (domestic cat)
Lineage: Eukaryota; Metazoa; Chordata; Mammalia; Carnivora; Felidae
Exons: 3
Source: RefSeq, a predicted model, not a curated record
GUGACUUCACGGAGCCUCCCAAAACAGAAGGAGCACUUCCUGCCAAGGGAGAGUGAGAUGGGGUCUCGUCUAGCCAAGUGCCGGCCAUAAGUAGGGUACACUUUGUGGAUAUCAGCAGACACUUCCCAUGUGGCUCUCAUGUCAUGCCAGAACCACGGUCAAAAAGGGCACUAAACCCACCCCAGGUUUCUCCAGCUAAUUAGUUACCACACAAAGCAGAACAGCAUGGAUCAUUACCUAUGAGCAGUGUAAAAUAAACGCACUUGUCGGGGAAUCGAAGCAGAUCCUCAAAUCUGCCCCCGCAACCCCCAAAUAUUUCCACUCAAUGCAACAUCCCAGUCCUCUCUGUCUCUGCCCUGCCAGAAGCCGGCCCUCCGACUUUGGCUGGGGUCUGAUGUUCAAGAGUUAAACAGCAGGAACAUCUAGUGGCUGUCACUGCUGAUCUCCCCAUCUGUGUCUGGAGCCCCGACCUCUCCGUGACUUCAGGCAGCAAGAGAAACAGAAGCACGGGAAGGCGAUGGUGGCAGCAGCAUGAACGGAGAAGGUGAGAGGCCUCCGCCACCUUGCGCGGCCUUGUGUCACUUACAAGGCUCCAGUGUAUCCCGGCGGGCAGCGGCAUUCCCCCGUGACGUGGUCACAGGUGGCUCCAUUCUGACACUGGCAUCGCUGGCGACAGUCAUUACCGUAGGUGCCCUGCUCGCAGCGGUCCUCGCAGCGCCAGCCCCGGAAACCUGCAGCACAGUGGCAAGCCCCCGUGAUGGGGUUGCACAGAGCCCCGUUUUUGCACUGGCACCGGCUGCUGCAGUGGGGCCCCCAGUGAUCACCAUCACAGGCUGAAGAGGGGGAAAAACAAUGGAGGGUGUCAGAGUAUGGAUGCGGGUAAGAGCAAGCUCUUCAGAACCCGCUUUCCUCUCCCCUUGACGAGAUGGCUUCAUGACCCCUUCACUGCUACUCCUUAGCUGGACAUCGAGGCUCUGACACCAGCCAGGCAACGCUUCAUAAAUGUGACCAGCACUAAGUGGGCCACUUCCAAUCACUCCAUCGCUCAAGCAGAGCUACGUUUUCCAGCUUCAUGACUUUGCUUGGCCUGUUUCCUGCACCCAGAGUGUUGAGUUUGAUGUGGCUAGAGUCAAUGGCUAGGGGAGAUAGAAUACAUUGAGAUCCAGGAAGACUGUCUGUACAUCACAGACAGGAAUCCAUCCGUCCAUGGACAAAGUAAACGGUCAGAUUAAAUCUCCAAGGGAAGCCUUUGUAAACCUG